GUGCCAGCAGCCGCGGUAAUACAGAGGUCUCGAGCGUUCAACGGAUUCAUUGGGCUUAAAGCGUACGUAGGCGGGUCUGCAGGCGUCGUGUGAAAGCCCUCGGCUCAACCGAGGAACUGCAUGGCGAACCGCAGAUCUUGAGACAAGUAGGGGCGGUCGGAACGAUAGGUGGAGUGGUGAAAUGCGUUGAUAUCUAUCGGAAUGCCGAAGGUGAAAGCAGGCCGCUGGGCUUGGUCUGACGCUGAGGUACGAAAGCGUGGGGAGCAAACGGGAUUAGAUACCCUCGUAGUCC
This 292-nucleotide ribosomal RNA is filed under the name uncultured bacterium. Its description in RNAcentral is "partial 16S ribosomal RNA". It matches the Rfam family "Bacterial small subunit ribosomal RNA", at positions 505 to 796 of the family's 1533-position model. The record is from RNAcentral.